This 460-nucleotide ribosomal RNA is filed under the name uncultured bacterium. RNAcentral's name for it is "partial 16S ribosomal RNA". It matches the Rfam family "Bacterial small subunit ribosomal RNA", at positions 338 to 795 of the family's 1533-position model. The record is from RNAcentral.
CCUACGGGGUGCAGCAGUGAGGAAUAUUGGUCAAUGGACGAGAGUCUGAACCAGCCAAGUAGCGUGAAGGAUGACUGCCCUAUGGGUUGUAAACUUCUUUUAUAUGGGAAUAAAAUGUUCCACGUGUGGGAUUUUGUAUGUACCAUAUGAAUAAGGAUCGGCUAACUCCGUGCCAGCAGCCGCGGUAAUACGGAGAAUCCGAGCGUUAUCCGGAUUUAUUGGGUUUAAAGGGAGCGUAGGUGGAUUGUUAAGUCAGUUGUGAAAGUUUGCGGCUCAACCGUAAAAUUGCAGUUGAAACUGGCAGUCUUGAGUACAGUAGAGGUGGGCGGAAGUCGUGGUGUAGCGGUGAAAUGCUUAGAUAUCACGAAGAACUCCGAUUGCGAAGGCAGUUCACUGGACUGCAACUGACACUGAGGCUCGAAAGUGUGGGUAUCAAACAGGAUUAGAUACCCCUGUAGUC